Oryza sativa Japonica Group (Japanese rice) is the source of this 988-nucleotide non-coding RNA. Lineage: Eukaryota; Viridiplantae; Streptophyta; Magnoliopsida; Poales; Poaceae. The record is from RefSeq and is a predicted model, not a curated record.
GCGAGGUCCCCUCUUUUUCACACAUCAUCAUAGCUUGAAGCUCUUCCUCUCUCUCCUCCCAUGGCCGAUCGUCGACGCCGUCGGUCGAUCUCCCCAUCCGUAGCUCCUCUUCCCCUCUCCUCGCACCACCGGCUUCGCCUCCAUCCGGCGAGUCCAUUUUUCCCCUUUCCCCUCUCCCUCCACCUCUAAGUCAAGUCACCACCACCAUCAUCCAUGCCGACUCAUGGUGAGCCCUUGCCGCCGCUGUUCCGGCCAUCUCCCUCACUCCCUCCACCUGCCACUACCCUCACCGGGUGCGCGUCGUCCGGGAACACGUGUGUCCGCCGGCGUCGCAACCUCUCGACCACCGGAGCACCGGCGCCCAACCUCUCUCUCCUCUGUGUUCUCGGCAGAAAGAAGAAGGAAAGAAGAAGACGGGAGAAGGAGAGAGAAAGAGAAAAGAAAAAGAAAAGGAGAACGGAGUGACAGAGUCUAUUUUAUUUUGGAUGGCAACCUGUGAUAUUUCGAGGAUUGGAUAAUAAGGUUGCUUAUCUCGGAUUUAUUUGCGUUGGAGCAAGGCAAGUUAUUAUUCCUCCCCUUGAGCAUAAUUACCCUAUAUUCUAUAUCUCUUUUCUAUGCAUUAGUCAUUCAUGAUUUUGAAUGCAUAACCUGAACAUAUAGCAAACCAGAUAUGCUAGCUUUUGCUUAGCCCUGCCUAGUUAGGCUGCAUAAAAAUAUAAUGAACCUAGAUUGGGACAGUACGUAAGAUUUGGUUGAUUUCUGGGUGGCUAGUACUGUCCCGGUCGAUAUAAUUGCCACCAAAUACUUAUGUCAAACGAACGAGUAUGACCACAGCUUCUUGAAUGGGGACAGACCUAGAUAUUAUGUUAAUUAGCAAUGUGGUACCUCUGUACAGUGGUUCCUUUUGUAAGUCCUCGCGCAAGAGGCAAUCUUAUGCCGAGCAGGGCAUCUUAUGAUAUUUACCGAGGCGCAGGUAAAUAUAUUGAUU